RNAcentral lists this ribosomal RNA (429 nucleotides) under uncultured Clostridium sp. Its description in RNAcentral is "bacterial SSU rRNA". It matches the Rfam family "Bacterial small subunit ribosomal RNA", at positions 958 to 1393 of the family's 1533-position model. Lineage: Bacteria; Bacillati; Bacillota; Clostridia; Eubacteriales; Clostridiaceae. RNAcentral also lists the same sequence under 1 other name. The record is from RNAcentral.
AACGCGAAGAACCUUACCAGGCCUUGACAUCCCUUGCAAAGUCUUAGAGAUAAGAUAGAGGUUAUCAAGGUGACAGGUGGUGCAUGGUUGUCGUCAGCUCGUGUCGUGAGAUGUUGGGUUAAGUCCCGCAACGAGCGCAACCCUUGUCUUCAGUUACCAUCAUUAAGUUGGGGACUCUGGAGAGACUGCCGGUGAUAAACCGGAGGAAGGUGGGGAUGACGUCAAAUCAUCAUGCCCCUUAUGGCCUGGGCUACACACGUACUACAAUGGCGUAUACAACAAGAUGCAAUACCGUAAGGUGGAGCUAAUCUAUUAAAAUACGUCUCAGUUCGGAUUGAGGUCUGCAACUCGACCUCAUGAAGUUGGAAUCGCUAGUAAUCGCAGAUCAGCAUGCUGCGGUGAAUACGUUCUCGGGUCUUGUACACACGC